AGCAAAGUAGUUUCAUAAUUAAAACGAUAGGCUGUGGUCCUGUCAAAGGUAUAUAAUAAAGCCCUUUGCUU
This 71-nucleotide transfer RNA is filed under the name Sinohyriopsis cumingii. RNAcentral's name for it is "Hyriopsis cumingii tRNA-His". Lineage: Eukaryota; Metazoa; Mollusca; Bivalvia; Unionida; Unionidae. The record is from RNAcentral.